RNAcentral lists this long non-coding RNA (2003 nucleotides) under Callithrix jacchus (white-tufted-ear marmoset). RNAcentral describes it as "lncRNA (ENSCJAG00000064807.2)". Lineage: Eukaryota; Metazoa; Chordata; Mammalia; Primates; Cebidae. The record is from RNAcentral.
CUCACUGCAACCUCUGCCUCCCAGGUUCAAAUAAUUCUCCUGCCUCAGCCUCCUGAGUAGCUGGGACUAUGGCUGCAUAUCACCAUGCCUGGCUAAUUUUUGUAUUUUUAGUAGAGAUGGGGUUUCACUAUGUUGACCAGGCUGGUCUUGAACUCCUGACCUUGUGAUCUACCUGGUUCAGCCUCCCAAAGUUCUGGGAUUACAGGAGUGAGCCACCAUGUCUGGCCUGAAUGUCUUUCUUCUACUUGUUCAAUUCUAUUGGUGAGACUUUCUAGAGCAUUUUGCAUUUCUAAAACUGUGUCCAAAAUUUUCUAAUUUUUUUUGUUUUUAAUAUAAGUUAUCUAUUUCCGCAAAUAAUUCUUUCUUCACUUUUUGCAUAAUUUUUUGGAUUUCCUUGCAUUGGGCUUUGCCUUUUACUAGUCCCUCCCUGAUUAGCUUAAUAACUAACCUCCUGAAUUCUUUUUCAGGUAAAUCAGGGAUUUCUUCUUGGUUUGGAUGCAUUGCUGGUGAACUAAAUGAUUUUUUUGGGGUGUUGAAGAGUCUUGUUUUGUUGUAUUACCAAGGUCCUACUUUCAGAAAAUAUAAAGAAAGCAAGGAAGGCAUGAGGAACAAAUGGAAAGGUAAGAUAUGGAAGUCAAGUUUGCUUUAGAUUAAUUGGGAUAGGAGAGAUUUUUUUUUAGACUUUACCUUUAAUUGUAGUUAUUUUUGUCCUGUGGUUUGUCGAGUUUUCAAAACUCAUUAGUGUGCCAUAAGGAGCCCUCAUGGCCUGACUGGAGCAUUUUUCUUCAGUUUCGUUUCUUUCUUCAGAACACAAUUCAUGCCAGACACACCAAUAUGAUCUCAAUACUAUUUCAUAAAAAAUCUCCAAAUCAACUAAAAUAGCUCUAGUUCAUUCCUCUUGAUUGUUACAUAAUAUUCCAUAAUGAGAAUGUAUCAUAAUUUAUUCAACCAUUCCCUUGUAAAUGGAUGCUUACAUUGGUUCCAGUUUUUAUCACCACAAACAAAACUGUAAGAAGCAACCUUUUACACAUAUCAUCACAUGUUCGUGGUUCUAAGACAAUUCUAGGAGUGGAGUUUCUGGGCAAAAAGAUAUAGAUUUCUAAUUUUAAUAUGUGUUGUUCAACUUACUUUAGAAAGAAACUAUGACAUUUCAUAUUUACACCAGCAAUUUAAUAAAGUAUAAUUUUCCUCAUAUUAUCAUAAAAAAGGUGUAUUAGCCCAUUUUCACACUGCUAUAAAGAUUUACUUGAGAACAAGUAAUUUAUAAAGGAAAGAGAUAUUAUUGACUCAUAGUUCCACCAGGCUCUGGAGGCCUCAGGAAAUGUGCAAUCAUAGUGGAAGGCAACGGAGAAGCAAGCACCUUCUUCAAAAAGUGGCUGGAGACACAGAGAGUAAAGGAGGAAGUGCCAUUUUUAAACCUUCAGAUCUUGGGCAGACUGACUCAUCAUCAUGAGAACAACAUGGGGGGCACUUCCCCCAUGAUCCAAUCACCUCCCACCAGAUCCCUCCCUUGACACAUGGAGAUUACAAUUCAAGAUGAGGUUUGGUUAGGGACACAGAGCCAAACCAUAUUAUUCUGCCCCUGGCCCUCCCAAAUCUCAUGUUCUUUUUACAUUUCAAAACCAAUCAUGACUUCCUAACAGUCUUCUAAAGUUUUACUUCAUUCCAGCAUCAACUCAAAAGCCCAAGUCCAAAGUCUCAUCUGAGACAAGGCAAGUCCCUUCUGCCUUUAAGCCCAUAAAAUAAAAAAGUUACUUACCUCCAAGAUACAAUGGGGGUACAGGCAUUGGAUAAAUGUUACUGUUCCAACUAGGAAAAAUUGGUCAAAAUGAAGGAGCCACAGGCCCCAUGCAAGUUUGAAACCCAGGAGGGCACUUACUAAAUCUUAAAGCUCCAAAAUGAUCUUCUCUGACCCCAUGUUUCACAUCCAGGGCAUGCUAAUGCAAGAAAUGCAUUCUCUUGACUUUUGGCAGCUCCACACCUGUGGUUCUGGAGGGUACAGG